GGCCUAUCAGCUUGUUGGUGGGGUAAUGGCCUACCAAGGCGACGACGGGUAGCCGGCCUGAGAGGGCGACCGGCCACACUGGGACUGAGACACGGCCCAGACUCCUACGGGAGGCAGCAGUGGGGAAUAUUGCACAAUGGGCGAAAGCCUGAUGCAGCGACGUCGUGUGAGGGAUGACGGCCUUCGGGUUGUAAACCUCUUUCAGCAGGGAAGAAGCGCAAGUGACGGUACCUGCAGAAGAAGCGCCGGCUAACUACGUGCCAGCAGCCGCGGUAAUACGUAGGGCGCAAGCGUUGUCCGGAAUUAUUGGGCGUAAAGAGCUCGUAGGCGGCUUGUCACGUCGGAUGUGAAAGCCCGGGGCUUAACCCCGGGUCUGCAUUCGAUACGGGCUAGCUAGAGUGUGGUAGGGGAGAUCGGAAUUCCUGGUGUAGCGGUGAAAUGCGCAGAUAUCAGGAGGAACACCGGUGGCGAAGGCGGAUCUCUGGGCCAUUACUGACGCUGAGGAGCGAAAGCGUGGGGAGCGAACAGGAUUAGAUACCCUGGUAGUCCACGCCGUAAACGUUGGGAACUAGGUGUUGGCGACAUUCCACGUCGUCGGUGCCGCAGCUAAACGCAUUAAGUUCCCGCCUGGGGAGUACGG
RNAcentral lists this ribosomal RNA (640 nucleotides) under Streptomyces sp. ENT-07. RNAcentral describes it as "bacterial SSU rRNA". It matches the Rfam family "Bacterial small subunit ribosomal RNA", at positions 235 to 885 of the family's 1533-position model. The record is from RNAcentral. Lineage: Bacteria; Bacillati; Actinomycetota; Actinomycetes; Kitasatosporales; Streptomycetaceae.